UUGCCAGCCCGCUCAGAACUCAAGGAAUUGACGGGGCCGCACGAAGCGGUGGAGCAUGUGGUUUAAUUCGACGCAACGCGAAGAACCUUACCUGGGCUUGACAUCCUUUGACAGUCCUGGAAACAGGAUUUUCCCGACUCUGUCGGGACAGAGUGACAGGUGCUGCAUGGCUGUCGUCAGCUCGUGUCGUGAGAUGUUGGGUUAAGUCCCGCAACGAGCGCAACCCUUGUCUUUAGUUGCCCAUAUUAAGUUAGGCACUCUAAAGAGACUGCCUCGGUUAACGGGGAGGAAGGUGGGGAUGACGUCAAGUCCUCAUGGCCUUUAUGCCCAGGGCUACACACGUGCUACAAUGGGCGGUACAAUGGGCUGCAACGCCGCGAGGCGAAGCCAAUCCCAAAAAGCCGUUCUCAGUUCGGAUUGGAGUCUGCAACUCGACUCCAUGAAGUCGGAAUCGCUAGUAAUCGUGGAUCAGCAUGCCACGGUGAAUACGUUCCCGGGCCUU
RNAcentral lists this ribosomal RNA (502 nucleotides) under uncultured Desulfarculaceae bacterium. Its description in RNAcentral is "bacterial SSU rRNA". It matches the Rfam family "Bacterial small subunit ribosomal RNA", at positions 904 to 1382 of the family's 1533-position model. Lineage: Bacteria; Pseudomonadati; Thermodesulfobacteriota; Desulfarculia; Desulfarculales; Desulfarculaceae. The record is from RNAcentral.